UAAUACGAAGGGGGCUAGCGUUGUUCGGAAUUACUGGGCGUAAAGCGCACGUAGGCGGACAUUUAAGUCAGGGGUGAAAUCCCGGGGCUCAACCUCGGAACUGCCUUUGAUACUGGGUGUCUUGAGUGUGGAAGAGGUCAGUGGAAUUGCGAGUGUAGAGGUGAAAUUCGUAGAUAUUCGCAGGAACACCAGUGGCGAAGGCGGCUGACUGGUCCACAACUGACGCUGAGGUGCGAAAGCGUGGGGAGCAAACAGG
RNAcentral lists this ribosomal RNA (256 nucleotides) under uncultured bacterium. RNAcentral's name for it is "partial 16S ribosomal RNA". It matches the Rfam family "Bacterial small subunit ribosomal RNA", at positions 521 to 776 of the family's 1533-position model. The record is from RNAcentral.